AGUGAACGCUGGCGGCAGGCCUAACACAUGCAAGUCGAACGGCAGCACAGAGGAGCUUGCUCCUUGGGUGGCGAGUGGCGGACGGGUGAGGAAUACGUCGGAAUCUGCCUAUUUGUGGGGGAUAACGUAGGGAAACUUACGCUAAUACCGCAUACGACCUACGGGUGAAAGUGGGGGACCGCAAGGCCUCACGCAGAUAGAUGAGCCGACGUCGGAUUAGCUAGUUGGCGGGGUAAAGGCCCACCAAGGCGACGAUCCGUAGCUGGUCUGAGAGGAUGAUCAGCCACACUGGAACUGAGACACGGUCCAGACUCCUACGGGAGGCAGCAGUGGGGAAUAUUGGACAAUGGGCGCAAGCCUGAUCCAGCCAUGCCGCGUGUGUGAAGAAGGCCUUCGGGUUGUAAAGCACUUUUGUCCGGAAAGAAAAGCUUAGGGUUAAUAACCUUGAGUCAUGACGUACCGGAAGAAUAAGCACCGCUAAC
RNAcentral lists this ribosomal RNA (482 nucleotides) under gamma proteobacterium YB12. Its description in RNAcentral is "bacterial SSU rRNA". It matches the Rfam family "Bacterial small subunit ribosomal RNA", at positions 29 to 501 of the family's 1533-position model. Lineage: Bacteria; Pseudomonadati; Pseudomonadota; Gammaproteobacteria. The record is from RNAcentral.